AGAGUUUGAUCCUGGCUCAGGAUGAACGCUGGCGGCGUGCUUAACACAUGCAAGUCGAACGAAGCACUUUGGACAGAUUCUUCGGAUGAAGUCCAUGGUGACUGAGUGGCGGACGGGUGAGUAACGCGUGGGUAACCUGCCUCAUACAGGGGGAUAACAGUUAGAAAUGGCUGCUAAUACCGCAUAAGCGCACGGUACUGCAUGGUACAGUGUGAAAAACUCCGGUGGUAUGAGAUGGACCCGCGUUGGAUUAGCUAGUUGGCAGGGUAACGGCCUACCAAGGCGACGAUCCAUAGCCGGCCUGAGAGGGUGGACGGCCACAUUGGGACUGAGACACGGCCCAGACUCCUACGGGAGGCAGCAGUGGGGAAUAUUGCACAAUGGGGGGAACCCUGAUGCAGCGACGCCGCGUGAGCGAAGAAGUAUUUCGGUAUGUAAAGCUCUAUCAGCAGGGAAGAAAAUGACGGUACCUGACUAAGAAGCCCCGGCUAACUACGUGCCAGCAGCCGCGGUAAUACGUAGGGGGCAAGCGUUAUCCGGAUUUACUGGGUAUAAAGGGUGCGUAGACGGGAAAACAAGUUAGUUGUGAAAUCCCUCGGCUUAACUGAGGAACUGCAACUAAAACUAUUUUUCUUGAGUGCUGGAGAGGAAAGUGGAAUUCCUAGUGUAGCGGUGAAAUGCGUAGAUAUUAGGAGGAACACCAGUGGCGAAGGCGACUUUCUGGACAGUAACUGACGUUGAGGCACGAAAGUGUGGGGAGCAAACAGGAUUAGAUACCCUGGUAGUCCACACCGUAAACGAUGGAUACUAGGUGUAGGGGAUGAAUAAUCUUCUGUGCCGUCGCAAACGCAGUAAGUAUCCCACCUGGGGAGUACGGCCGCAAGGUUGAAACUCAAAGGAAUUGACGGGGGCCCGCACAAGCAGUGGAGUAUGUGGUUUAAUUCGACGCAACGCGAAGAACCUUACCAGGGCUUGACAUAUAGAGGAAUAACUAAGAGAUUAGUUAGCUCUUCGGAGUCUCUAUACAGGUGGUGCAUGGUUGUCGUCAGCUCGUGUCGUGAGAUGUUGGGUUAAGUCCCGCAACGAGCGCAACCCCUGUUCUUAGUUGCCAGCACGUUAAGGUGGGAACUCUAAGAAGACUGCCGGUGAUAAAUCGGAGGAAGGUGGGGACGACGUCAAAUCAUCAUGCCCUAUAUGUCCUGGGCUACACACGUACUACAAUGGCUAUAACAAAGGGAAGCAAAACCGCGAGGUGGAGCAAAACCCAAAAAAGUAGUCUCAGUUCGGAUUGAAGGCUGAAAUUCGCCUUCAUGAAGCCGGAAUUGCUAGUAAUGGCAGGUCAGCAUACUGCCGUGAAUACGUUCCCGGGCCUUGUACACACCGCCCGUCACACCAUGAGAGUUGGGAAUACCCGAAGCCUGUGAGCUAACUGUAAAGAGGCAGCAGUCGAAGGUAGAAUCAAUGAUUGGGGUGAAGUCGUAACAAGGUA
Molecule: ribosomal RNA, 1489 nt
Filed under: metagenome
Description: bacterial SSU rRNA
Rfam family: Bacterial small subunit ribosomal RNA
Source: RNAcentral